Rhea pennata is the source of this 2631-nucleotide long non-coding RNA. RefSeq lists it as uncharacterized. The transcript is spliced from 3 exons. The record is from RefSeq and is a predicted model, not a curated record. Lineage: Eukaryota; Metazoa; Chordata; Aves; Rheiformes; Rheidae.
GGUUGCUGCCAGGCCGGACAAAGCCAGCAAUAAGAAAGCUAUGUAUCCUGUGGUGGGCAGUGAGACCUCUGGUAGAUAAGCGGGUGACCAUUCAGCCUCUUAAACAAAGCUGUGAUGGUUUUGUUGUGCAUGACUCCUAAAGUCAAAGACUAGGAAAGAGGGGAAAUGCAAUAGUAUUUCUCAAAAGCAUCCACUGGUGAAGGGGUGGCACUCUGAUGUGAGAUUGCACCUGAAUGAUGGAGGAGGGAGGUGCAAGUUCCCACAUUUCCUUCAGUUCCCCUUUCCUUUCCUGGUUAUCUGCAGCUCUUAGCCCUCACAGUCAGUGUUAGGGAUUGAAGGUGCGGUACAGAGCACCCUUGCAGAGGUGGUUUGACGCUGUAUGGCUCGUGAGAGGACAGGCAGUGGCCCAAAUGCAGAUGUCUUUGUGGAAGUGCAGCACAGUGCCCUGGAAAAGGAAGGUUUCACCUACAUUUUGGAAAAAGGGGUUGGGGGAGCUCAUUUAACACCAGCUGUCCCUGAAAGCAAGAGCUCCUCAGAGACUGCAAAUUCAGAAAUGUGGGAAGCUUAUUUGUAUCCCCCUAAAUAAAGGUGGGAGGUGAGCCACUGGCCUGAAACCAUCUUCUGAGGAACAUCCAGAUACUCAUUUCCAGCCUUUCUUUCCACAGUGACUCAUUUAGAAAGCAGUCUGCAUGUUCCAGACCUUGCAUCGUUUAGCUGCUCUAAAGCAAGAGAAAGCCCAGCGGUACCGGUGGGAUUAUACACAAGAUCGGGUGGUUUGGGAGUAGAAUUAGCCUAACAUAAAUACGUAACUAACUCUAUUUCUCUCAUGCACACUUCCUAAAUCCAGAAAGAACAAAAUUCACACUGGUUAGGUCAGAACUGGAGCCUAAAGAAUCACACUAUGAGCAGCCAGAUCUUUUGGGGCAAUAAAAGACAGUGAGAGGCUUUGCAUCCCUCCCCUCCUGAGACCUGGAGCCUGGACCCAGUGACGCCGCUUUAAAUCCUGUCUUGCACUGGAGGAGGAAAUUUGGCCUCUCCAGAGACUGCCCUUGUAUCAGUGCCAGGGCUCAGAGCUGUCGUUUUUUCCUGAGCAGUUUCAGCUGCUUGGUCUGCACCGUUACCCAUAUGCCACAGCUAGGCAAACGGGAACAAAAUCAUGAGCAUCACCCUUCACAGAAUGCCCUUAAAAAAUAUAUGUAUUACCUGUAAUGGUUGUGUUGGAAGAUGCCAAAUUACUGCACAUGAGCAAAUGCCCCUGCUCCCUAAGCUUUGUCUGUAUUGCAAUAACUAUCUUCAACACAUUCCCUGUGUCUGUAAACAGAAGACCCCAGGGACUUCGCAGAGGCUUCAGUCAUUUACAAUCCGGUCCACACAAGGCCGUGAUGCUGAGAAAGGAAGUGCAGGAUUCAAGUUUGAAGCACUGUGUAUACAAGAAGCUUCCUGUGGCUUCCCAAGAGGCUCCAACCUCCUCUGGCGUCAACGGGUUUCACAGGCUGCAUCUCUCCCGUGCACUCACACCUCGUUGCAGGAUCCCGCUCCACCUCUGCCUGGUGGCUGGUUUUACUGCUCACGGGCCACAGCAACGAAGACAAGCAGCUGACCUGGAAGCAGUGCUGUGCGCCGCAGGCAGACGCCUGGCGCCCCGCUGCUUCGGCUGUAAUCGCGCAGAGGCAGGCAAAGCUGCGGGGACCUCAUCCAGCCGGGGCACGGCGCACAACGUAACGCUCUGGGCUUGCGCUCCCAGCAACGACCCCUGGCUGCACACUUACCUCCCACUUGCUCCACUCGGGACGAGAGAGCUUCCUGCUCCUCCGAGACAGGCUUGUCUCGUAGGUGGGAGCACCGCCGUCCUGGCUCCUUCCUUUCCGUUUCCGCGGCACCACGGGCUUCGUGUUUCUCAUCACUCCGUCUUGCAGAAGCUUUGGGCGCUUAUGUCUGCUCCCAGUGUUCCCAGCACUGCCACCAGCCAGCCGCAAAUCUCUUGUAAUAACUCGGUUAUUCUUGCACCUGAUUUAUGCUGUUGGUAGCCCAGCUGCUUCACCAAGAUAAGAAGGAUAGAUACACAUCACUCACAGAGCCAUGGAAGAGAAAAUCCUCCUGCUGAAACCCUUUUAACCAUUGACAUUUAACUCUCUCUCUGCCAAAUAUGUCUCUUUAAAACCUUCCCUAGCUUUUGUGACAAAAUGUUUUUUUUCAUUUGCAAGCCAUCACCAGGACAGACAACUCCACCCUUCACGGAAGAACAAGGAUGCCUCUUCAGCAGUGAUGACUCAGCCUAAAAAUGUUAUUGAAGAGGAAACCCUUCAUCAUUUUGUAUUUUUGCAGUGAGUUUGAUCUACUUCUCUGCACAACUCCGCUGAUACCAUGAGUAAAAGGUAAAUCAGGAUGUUUAUCUAGAAACAAAUACUGACUGCAUUGUAGCCGCCUUCUACCAAUGGAGAAGAAAUUGGACACUUCUGUCUGCAACGACUUUGGCAACGAAAGGACGAGCCCCCUAGUGAAUUUUCUCUCUGCUGUUCCAAGGGCAGAUGGCAUUUCUGUUUUCCCUGUCAUCUUCACAGAACAAGUUGUGAAGAACCAUUUCCAGCUCCUACAAAUGGGCAUUUUGAUUGAAAACCUGGAACCAGCAAU